AUAUUGGGGAGAGACCGAUAGCGAACAAGUACCGUGAGGGAAAGAUGAAAAGCACUUUGGAAAGAGAGUUAACAGUACGUGAAAUUGUUGGAAGGGAAACACAUGCAGUGAUACUUGCUAUUCGGGGCAACUCGAUUGGCAGGCCCGCAUCAGUUUUUCGGGGCGGAAAAGCGUAGAGAGAAGGUAGCAACUUCGGUUGUGUUAUAGCUCUUUACUGGAUUCGCCCUGGGGGACUGAGGAACGCAGCGUGCUUUUAGCAUAAGCUUCGGCUUAUCCACGCUUAGGAUGCGGGUGUAAUGGCUGUAUAUGACCCGUCUUGAAACACGGACC
RNAcentral lists this ribosomal RNA (330 nucleotides) under uncultured fungus. RNAcentral's name for it is "LSU rRNA". It matches the Rfam family "Eukaryotic large subunit ribosomal RNA", at positions 320 to 667 of the family's 3401-position model. Lineage: Eukaryota; Fungi. The record is from RNAcentral.